This 538-nucleotide ribosomal RNA is filed under the name Pichia kudriavzevii. RNAcentral describes it as "eukaryotic LSU rRNA". It matches the Rfam family "Eukaryotic large subunit ribosomal RNA", at positions 89 to 650 of the family's 3401-position model. Lineage: Eukaryota; Fungi; Ascomycota; Pichiomycetes; Pichiales; Pichiaceae. The record is from RNAcentral.
GCGAGUGAGCGGCAAGAGCUCAGAUUUGAAAUCGUGCUUUGCGGCACGAGUUGUAGAUUGCAGGUUGGAGUCUGUGUGGAAGGCGGUGUCCAAGUCCCUUGGAACAGGGCGCCCAGGAGGGUGAGAGCCCCGUGGGAUGCCGGCGGAAGCAGUGAGGCCCUUCUGACGAGUCGAGUUGUUUGGGAAUGCAGCUCCAAGCGGGUGGUAAAUUCCAUCUAAGGCUAAAUACUGGCGAGAGACCGAUAGCGAACAAGUACUGUGAAGGAAAGAUGAAAAGCACUUUGAAAAGAGAGUGAAACAGCACGUGAAAUUGUUGAAAGGGAAGGGUAUUGCGCCCGACAUGGGGAUUGCGCACCGCUGCCUCUCGUGGGCGGCGCUCUGGGCUUUCCCUGGGCCAGCAUCGGUUCUUGCUGCAGGAGAAGGGGUUCUGGAACGUGGCUCUUCGGAGUGUUAUAGCCAGGGCCAGAUGCUGCGUGCGGGGACCGAGGACUGCGGCCGUGUAGGUCACGGAUGCUGGCAGAACGGCGCAACACCGCCC